AAAUGAAUAGACGGGGGCCCGCACAAGCGGUGGAGCAUGUGGUUUAAUUCGAUGCAACGCGAAGAACCUUACCAGGGCUUGACAUCUGCCUGGCGGUCUUAGGAAACUUAGGCUUUCCUUCGGGACGGGCAGACAGGUGGUGCAUGGCUGUCGUCAGCUCGUGUCGUGAGAUGUUGGGUUAAGUCCCGCAACGAGCGCAACCCUUAUUCUUAGUUGCCAGCGUGUUAUGGCGGGCACUCUAAGGAGACUGCCGGUGACAAACCGGAGGAAGGUGGGGAUGACGUCAAGUCCUCAUGCCCUUUAUGUCCUGGGCUACACACGUGCUACAAUGGCCUGUACAGCGGGUUGCGAAGUCGUGAGGCGGAGCCAAUCCUCCAAAGCAGGUCUCAGUUCGGAUUGCAGGCUGCAAUUCGCCUGCAUGAAGCCGGAAUCGCUAGUAAUCGCGAAUCAGCACGUCGCGGUGAAUACGUUCCCGGGCCUUGUACACACCGCCCGU
RNAcentral lists this ribosomal RNA (496 nucleotides) under uncultured bacterium. RNAcentral describes it as "bacterial SSU rRNA". It matches the Rfam family "Bacterial small subunit ribosomal RNA", at positions 903 to 1397 of the family's 1533-position model. The record is from RNAcentral.